GACGAACGCUGGCGGCGUGCCUAAUACAUGCAAGUCGAACGCUUCUUUCCUCCCGAGUGCUUGCACUCCAUUGGAAAGAGGAGUGGCGGACGGGUGAGUAACACGUGGGUAACCUACCCAUCAGAGGGGGAUAACACUUGGAAACAGGUGCUAAUACCGCAUAACAGUUUAUGCCGCAUUGCAUAAGAGUGAAAGGCGCUUUCGGGUGUCGCUGAUGGAUGGACCCGCGGUGCAUUAGCUAGUUGGUGAGGUAACGGCUCACCAAGGCCACGAUGCAUAGCCGACCUGAGAGGGUGAUCGGCCACACUGGGACUGAGACACGGCCCAGACUCCUACGGGAGGCAGCAGUAGGGAAUCUUCGGCAAUGGACGAAAGUCUGACCGAGCAACGCCGCGUGAGUGAAGAAGGUUUUCGGAUCGUAAAACUCUGUUGUUAGAGAAGAACAAGGACGUUAGUAACUGAACGUCCCCUGACGGUAUCUAACCAGAAAGCCACGGCUAACUACGUG
This 508-nucleotide ribosomal RNA is filed under the name uncultured bacterium. RNAcentral describes it as "partial 16S ribosomal RNA". It matches the Rfam family "Bacterial small subunit ribosomal RNA", at positions 28 to 507 of the family's 1533-position model. The record is from RNAcentral.